AAAUUGAAGAGUUUGAUCAUGGCUCAGAUUGAACGCUGGCGGCAGGCCUAACACAUGCAAGUCGAACGGUAACAGAAAGAAGCUUGCUUCUUUGCUGACGAGUGGCGGACGGGUGAGUAAUGUCUGGGAAACUGCCUGAUGGAGGGGGAUAACUACUGGAAACGGUAGCUAAUACCGCAUAACGUCGCAAGACCAAAGAGGGGGACCUUCGGGCCUCUUGCCAUCGGAUGUGCCCAGAUGGGAUUAGCUUGUUGGUGGGGUAACGGCUCACCAAGGCGACGAUCCCUAGCUGGUCUGAGAGGAUGACCAGCCACACUGGAACUGAGACACGGUCCAGACUCCUACGGGAGGCAGCAGUGGGGAAUAUUGCACAAUGGGCGCAAGCCUGAUGCAGCCAUGCCGCGUGUAUGAAGAAGGCCUUCGGGUUGUAAAGUACUUUCAGCGGGGAGGAAGGGAGUAAAGUUAAUACCUUUGCUCAUUGACGUUACCCGCAGAAGAAGCACCGGCUAACUCCGUGCCAGCAGCCGCGGUAAUACGGAGGGUGCAAGCGUUAAUCGGAAUUACUGGGCGUAAAGCGCACGCAGGCGGUUUGUUAAGUCAGAUGUGAAAUCCCCGGGCUCAACCUGGGAACUGCAUCUGAUACUGGCAAGCUUGAGUCUCGUAGAGGGGGGUAGAAUUCCAGGUGUAGCGGUGAAAUGCGUAGAGAUCUGGAGGAAUACCGGUGGCGAAGGCGGCCCCCUGGACGAAGACUGACGCUCAGGUGCGAAAGCGUGGGGAGCAAACAGGAUUAGAUACCCUGGUAGUCCACGCCGUAAACGAUGUCGACUUGGAGGUUGUGCCCUUGAGGCGUGGCUUCCGGAGCUAACGCGUUAAGUCGACCGCCUGGGGAGUACGGCCGCAAGGUUAAAACUCAAAUGAAUUGACGGGGGCCCGCACAAGCGGUGGAGCAUGUGGUUUAAUUCGAUGCAACGCGAAGAACCUUACCUGGUCUUGACAUCCACGGAAGUUUUCAGAGAUGAGAAUGUGCCUUCGGGAACCGUGAGACAGGUGCUGCAUGGCUGUCGUCAGCUCGUGUUGUGAAAUGUUGGGUUAAGUCCCGCAACGAGCGCAACCCUUAUCCUUUGUUGCCAGCGGUCCGGCCGGGAACUCAAAGGAGACUGCCAGUGAUAAACUGGAGGAAGGUGGGGAUGACGUCAAGUCAUCAUGGCCCUUACGACCAGGGCUACACACGUGCUACAAUGGCGCAUACAAAGAGAAGCGACCUCGCGAGAGCAAGCGGACCUCAUAAAGUGCGUCGUAGUCCGGAUUGGAGUCUGCAACUCGACUCCAUGAAGUCGGAAUCGCUAGUAAUCGUGGAUCAGAAUGCCACGGUGAAUACGUUCCCGGGCCUUGUACACACCGCCCGUCACACCAUGGGAGUGGGUUGCAAAAGAAGUAGGUAGCUUAACCUUCGGGAGGGCGCUUACCACUUUGUGAUUCAUGACUGGGGUGAAGUCGUAACAAGGUAACCGUAGGGGAACCUGCGGUUGGAUCACCUCCUUA
Molecule: ribosomal RNA, 1542 nt
Filed under: Escherichia coli
Lineage: Bacteria; Pseudomonadati; Pseudomonadota; Gammaproteobacteria; Enterobacterales; Enterobacteriaceae
Also listed under: 3 other names
Description: bacterial SSU rRNA
Rfam family: Bacterial small subunit ribosomal RNA
Source: RNAcentral